UCUUAGUCUCUACCUCCACCGUGAACCGACCAGCCCCUUGAAUUCCCAUCCACCAUGCAGAUCACUUUUAUUCGGAUUCUAUUGACGCUGAUUUUUAGCGUGUAGCAAACUAUGCAGGAUCCACAAUCCAAGACUGUGUAUGGGAUGACAUUCAAGAUCGACUGGAUAUAUAGUCUUCACUCGAUCAAAAAUAUUGUGUGGACCAUCAUGAAUCAAAUUAUUGACUCUAACACUGCUGGACUCAAGAUUGAGUUCCAAUAGUUUCGGCGGGCCUACUUAAUUAAUAGUCAGUCCAAGAGCUUAAGGGCCCUCUUUGCUAAUUAAAUUCUUGUUGGCAUUUCUAACUAGAAAAGUGGUUCGUCCGUAAUUUACUGUUUUUCCAUUAAAUGAAAACAAGCACGUAGGUGAUAGUUAAUGUGCUGUUUUAUAACUUAUCACGUGAGAACCAUCUGUUUUUUUUUUUUUUUUGCAACUUAGAACCAUCUGUUUCUAGUCCAUAUGAACCAAAAUUUCAGAAAACAAUGUUUGUUACUUAGUUAUUAUUAGUUGCUUACAAAACUGUAGAGUUUUAGAUUGAUCCAUAUUAGGUUUUAUCUUGCUUGGAUUAAAUGAUUGAUUUCGAUUGUUAGUGGUUUUAGGUUCGAUCGAGUGACUAAAUGAAAACAAGAGAGCAACACAAGACAAUUUGUUCAUCCGGUGUUCGCUGAUCUACUCACCGGGGAAGGAGUAGGCAUCCCUCAAUAGCUCCACUAUCAAAAAUCCGAUCGAAGUUACAAGAUCACAACAAUGGUGAUUCUUCUAAAAUAGAGAGAUUACACGAGAACUUAACGAGCUUAUCAUUUCCUUUGUGAAGUCGAAAAGUCACUGCCGAAAUGGUUCGAUCUGACCGUAUACCGCCUCUGCAACUCUGUCGAGCUUCACCCUCACGAUCUUAAGCUAAGUCUUCUUCUCUCUAGUUCUCUGAUUUUGAUCGUCUCUCUCAAUUUGAAUCUGGACGUUGUAACAACUUUAUCCACUCUCAGAUGUGAAACAAAUCUUUUCACUUAUAUAUGAUAGCAUAUGGGCUGAGAUUUGGGUUUUUUUCCUUUUGCACGUUUCGGACGAACCAAGACUGAGAUACAUGACAGUGAGCCAUAAAGAAACAACCUAUUUCGGAGUUUGGCUGAAUCAGAUCCACAAAAACUACAGGCAAUAAAAAAAAACAAAUCAGAACAAAAUCACAAAUAAAUUAUACAAAACCUUGAAAACAAAUGGACUAUUAAAAGCAAGACCGGCAGUUAAAUAACUCAGAUUCUUUAGCUCUGAAGAAUUUUAAACUAAACUAUAUCCAAAAAUAAUUAGAAGUUAAUAGAACAUAACAAUUAACCUAACAAGGAAACUAGAAUUAACAAAAAGUCAGCCUGCAAUUAAUACAUGCAAUCAUGUAAACAAUAGUUUCAUACUAUUAAUCAUCAUCUCCUAUCUAUAAUUAGUUAAUAAAAGCUUUCUUAUUGUACAAAAACAAAUGGCUCCGUCAUUUCUGAGCAUCGCAAAGUUCGUUGAGGCAAUACUUCGCCGGAUAUUCUCCUCCUCUGGUCUCUCUCUACAAACCCUUUCCAUCGACUCCGAAACCACCAUACAAUACUGGGGUCCAGCAACGUCUGAAAACAAACAGAAGCCGUCUCUCCUCCUUCUCCACGGUUUUGGCCCUUCCGCUGUAUGGCAAUGGAACAGACAGGUAAAGAAACUCUCUAUCUACUUCCGUCUCUACAUUCCAGACCUCGUCUUCUUCGGCGGCUCCACCACGACCUCCUUUCGCUCCGACGAAAACCGGUCGGAGAUGUUUCAGGCUUCGUGCAUGGGGAGGCUGAUGGAGAAGCUCGGUGUCGAGAGAUAUAGUGUUGUCGGGACGAGCUACGGUGGAUUUGUGGCGUAUAACAUGGCGAAAAUGAUGCCGGGGAAAGUGGAGAAAGUGGUUCUUGCUAGCUCCGGGGUUAAUUUGCGGAGAAGUGACAACGAGGCGUUUAUCGCGAGGGCCAAGUGUCAUGGCAUCGUGGAGGUGAUGCUUCCUUCCUCGGCGGCGGAUCUCCGGAGAUUAUCUGGGAUGAUAUCUUCUAGGAAACUAGAUUAUGUCCCAGAUUUUGUCUUGAACGACUUUUGCCAGAAAAUGUAUUCGGAGAAGAGAGGGGAAAAGACAGAACUUCUGGAGGGGCUCAGUAUUGGGAGGGACGACAAAACAAACGUUUCACCGAUUCAACAGUGGGAUGACCUGAGACUGUGAACGGAUUUCGCCUCUGGCCUCUGGGCACGUCGGAACCGCGCGAGUUCACCGGGAUAGCACCCGCCCCAGUAGAAAUUUCUCGGAGUGAAUUCCUCUGUCCUGUGUGCGGAAGGCAUAUGAAGUAGUCCAAUAAGGAUUCAAGUCAGGAUGUAAUGCUGAUAUGGGGGGAGAAAGAUCAGGUUUUCCCUCUGAUAAUGGCCCAUGACCUCAGAGACUACGAAGUGGAUUAUGGAUAACAUAAAUGGCGACCUGGAGCAGAUGGGAAGAAGGGAUUAAGCAACGCCACAUGAUCGGACGGAUCACUCAAUGGGUGGGUGGGGGGGGGGGGGGGGGGGGGCAACAACAUCGAGUAGGGUUUAAGUGGUUCGGACACGUUAGAUUCAAAUUGAAAUAUUAAUUGAAAAGAGAAAAGUGUAAUGAGAGUGGGUCUAUAGGAGAGGGCUAAAGCAGGACCCAUGACAAUGAUCCUGAUGAGAUCCUAUGUUGAUACGCGGUUUUGAUUGAAUUCGAAUGUUUUACGCAACCCACCCUUACUAGUCUUCUUUCUUUUGUGUUUGCCAAAUUACCUGUAUUUAUACGUGUCAAACAUGUAUAUUGUGUUACUGUUUAGACGUUUAAUUAUUCCAUAUCAAACGAAAUUAUACGCACCAUGAAGGUAAUAAUUAAUUAUAUUCCAAGACUAGCUAGUUGUUUUUUAAAAUUUCACUUUUACAUAGUGUUGCAUUUUCGGUGUUUUCUUUUUAAUAUUGAUUCAUUAUGAUAUUACAAUUAUGAGAAAUAUUACAUAGACGAUUCGACAACCGAUAAUACUAUAUGUUUUAUAAGGAUUUACACCUAACUGCAUCACCUGAGCCGUCCUACGAAUUUACUUGCACCAUGUUAAAGAUCACUUAUAAAUUUUUCCUCUAUAACUUGCAUAAUUGUUUGAUAAAUCGUUUUUUCCAGAAAUAGAAAUAUGAACUUGUUGGUGUAGAAUCAUUAAUAAAUUUAAUGAAUUUUUAAUCAAACCACUAAACUAAAAGAACUUUCACAUAUUUUCGGUAUUUUAAAACCGAAAAUUAAACAAUCGAUGCCAGAAGAGGCAAAAGAAGAAAAGCUAAGGGGAGACAAGAAGCAAAUUAAAACCAAAAUAAUAACAUUAAAUGAAUAAUUAACUUCGUACCAAUACAAAUGAAAUAUUCGGCCUCCGAAUUAGAGUAUUACAUAAAUAUAAAUUUUUAAAUUUGUAAAAAAGAUUACUUAUUAAAAUCUUAACUAAAUUAGCUAUGCUUUCUAAAAUUUCAGGGUGGACCAUUCUUCAUACAUUUGGAUUGAAUUUUUUUGAGUUUUUUCAAAUUUGUACUACUGUUCGUAUUUAUUUUGUAUAAUUCAAAAAUGUUGUUGAAAUCUUUAUAUUUAUUUUUUUAAUUAUCACGAUAAGUAUAUUACUUAUGAGAAAUGGCGUUCUACCUAUAAAGUACUAAUGACAAAAUCUUGAAAAUUUAGACAUGUAAUAAUGAAGGAAUCUAGAAGAAGAUAAACAUAAAAUCUUCUAAAAGUGGUAACUUUGAAAGCAUCCUAUUCGGCAAUUCCUGUUUCUCCAAGGAAAAUAUUAAUAAUUAUUUUAAAAUAAAUUAAUAUUAAUAAAAAUGAAUAAAAUCAAGCGGAAGAGGAAAGACUGUCGGCUUUAAUCGAUUUUGUGGUUCUUCCUUCAUAUGUGGAUAAGCCUCACCGUUUUUCAGACAACAAAAGAUGACCCAUCUCGUCAUCGACACGUCACAUUCAUCUCAGUGCCUAUCCAGCGGGAACGGUCAACAAAACGCCACGUGUUGAAGUUUCAUGGCUCUAUCUUCCACGAAUUAAAAAAAUACUAAUGGAGUAUAAGAUAACAAUGUUGAUUUUACGAGGCUAAUUUUGCUAAUAGUCCUUCAACUUCUGGAAUAUCUACAAAUAGUUUUCUUUUAUAAAAAAUGGUAUAUUAUUGCCGUAAAUAUCUAACAAUUUUAAAUAAAAUAAAAUAUUUUGAUUAACAAGUUGAAAAAAAUCUAGAGACAAAUUCAAACUUUACGUACAAAAUUCACAAAAACAAUAAACAAGUUUUUUCUUUUAAAAGCAAAUUUAGUUUCUGAAGAAAAAAAACACAAAAUUAUUUGUAAAAGAAAUAUAAAAUAAUAUUUUUAAUUAAAUAUAAUUUUACAACAUAAAUCAAUCUACUCUACCAAAUUGUUAUUGAAUAAUAUUUUUUUAUCAAAGAACUUGGGGUGGCAAUAUGUGAAUAAGAGAAGUUGGA
RNA transcript from Brassica rapa (field mustard), 4529 nucleotides. It is a transcript of the gene named 2-hydroxy-6-oxononadienedioate/2-hydroxy-6-oxononatrienedioate hydrolase 1, with no coding region annotated. Lineage: Eukaryota; Viridiplantae; Streptophyta; Magnoliopsida; Brassicales; Brassicaceae. The record is from RefSeq and is a predicted model, not a curated record.